Molecule: ribosomal RNA, 301 nt
Filed under: uncultured bacterium
Lineage: Bacteria
Description: partial 16S ribosomal RNA
Rfam family: Bacterial small subunit ribosomal RNA
Source: RNAcentral
CAGUCGCCGCGGUAAAACGUAGGUGGCAAGCGUUGUCCGGAAUUAUUGGGCGUAAAGGGCUCGCAGGCGGUUUCUUAAGUCUGAUGUGAAAGCCCCCGGCUCAACCGGGGAGGGUCAUUGGAAACUGGGAAACUUGAGUGCAGAAGAGGAGAGUGGAAUUCCACGUGUAGCGGUGAAAUGCGUAGAGAUGUGGAGGAACACCAGUGGCGAAGGCGACUCUCUGGUCUGUAACUGACGCUGAGGAGCGAAAGCGUGGGGAGCAAACAGGAUUAGAUACCCGUGUAGUCCCUGUCUCUUAACA